AGGACGAACGCUGGCGGCGUGCCUAACACAUGCAAGUCGAACGGAACCAGCAAUGGUUCAGAGGCGGACGGGUGCGUAACACGUGAGGAACAUGUCUUUCGGUGGGGGAUAGCCGGCCCAACGGCCGGGUAAUACCGCAUACGCUGCUCGGAGCUCCUGCUCUGAGUCGGAAAGCAGCAAUGCGCCGAUCGAGUGCCUCGCGGCCUAUCAGCUAGUUGGUGAGGUAAUGGCUCACCAAGGCGACGACGGGUAGCUGGUCUGAGAGGAUGAUCAGCCACAUUGGGACUGAGACACGGCCCAGACUCCUACGGGAGGCAGCAGUGGGGAAUAUUGCGCAAUGGGCGAAAGCCUGACGCAGCGACGCCGCGUGUGGAUGGACGGCCUUCGGGUUAGUAAACCGACGUGGUCGGGAGGACGAAGAUCGUGACGGUACCUACCAAAGGAAGCAACCGGCUAACUCUAGUGCCAGCAGCCGACGGUAAUCGUAGA
RNAcentral lists this ribosomal RNA (489 nucleotides) under uncultured soil bacterium. Its description in RNAcentral is "bacterial SSU rRNA". It matches the Rfam family "Bacterial small subunit ribosomal RNA", at positions 26 to 529 of the family's 1533-position model. The record is from RNAcentral.